Molecule: long non-coding RNA, 119 nt
Organism: Alosa alosa (allis shad)
Lineage: Eukaryota; Metazoa; Chordata; Actinopteri; Clupeiformes; Clupeidae
Exons: 3
Source: RefSeq, a predicted model, not a curated record
CAGGUCAAACCUCUCUGAAGGCCCAGGUCAUAAGAGUACUGCCGCACCUCCACACUCUCUACACACACACACACACACAGGUCAUAAGAGUACUGCCGCACUUCCACACUCUCUACACA